Molecule: long non-coding RNA, 5691 nt
Organism: Bubalus bubalis (water buffalo)
Lineage: Eukaryota; Metazoa; Chordata; Mammalia; Artiodactyla; Bovidae
Exons: 2
Source: RefSeq, a predicted model, not a curated record
CCCCACCUCCCUCUGAGCAGCAUUUCCCGGGAUGUCAAGGCUCCUGCCCUCAGGGGGUGACUGCAGCAGGGGGCCCCAGGACCACCACCUUUGUUCUUCGGUGGGCCCUGAGGGUGGUGGGCCCAGCAUCACAACUGGCCCCAGGACCACCGGGCAUUUCAGCUGAGACUUAAACCAGGGCCUGAGCCCCAUCCAGAGGGUCCUGUUGACCUGGGCCCCCGCCUAUGUCAGAACAGGAAGGGUGUGACAGACCCCAGAGAGCGAGCUGCACCUCGGCCUAUGCCUGCCCUGCAGGCCGAGCCAGGCGGUGACAGUGAUGAGCUGACGGUCCCUCGUGCUUCAGCCACCGUUCUGGCCAAGCGAACUGCUAUGGAGCUCACAGCCACUCAGACACAGGAAAGCUGAGGAGCAUGGGGGGAGUGGCCUUGGGGGACUGAAAGCCGGCCACGCGGCAGGAGAGGUCCCCAGAGAAGCCGGUGGUGCUCCAGCCUGCCUGCAGCAUCUCCACCCGGAGAGCGCUGACAGUGGCCCAUAAAUCAUCAUCAGUACCUCCUGCUCCAAAAACAGGCCCAUCCUGACAGCCGGUCUGCGGGGCGGCGAGCUCAGCGCCAGGCUCAAUCACCAGAGAAAUCAGUGUAAUCAGCAUGAAAUUGCAUCGGAAACAAAUUUAGCAAACACGGUCCCAUUUGGGGGUGUGACGUGGCCUGUUCGCAUAGCUCUGUCCCCUCCAGCUUUCCGGCGCAAUCAGCCCUGCCGAGGGCCUCAGGCCCGCCAGCGGGCACGUAAAAGCAGGCGCGGGUGGGUCUGUGGGCGCAAUUAGCGCUCAAAUCAAGCGGGGUGGGGGUGGGGGUGGUGCCAUCUGACUGUCAUGCACGGGGGAGCAUCCAGGCUCUUAGCCCUUACUGCCAAGGCCGGGCAGGCCUGCUGCGCAGGGCAGCACACGGUGUGGGGGUGUCUGGUGGCCAGAGUGAAGGCCCCAGCACGCUGGGCUGAGUCCUUCUGUGUGCCAAGCUCUGCACGAAGCCGUGGCGAUGGGGAGGCAGGGUGCAAGGCACAGUGCCUGGGAACACCCUGGUGACUGCACACGGGGGCCUGUGGUAGCGGCCAGCUGGACAGACAGGAAGGGCCACCUGGAGAGGGGCAGUGCCCCUCGGGCCAGGGUGACUCGGGCGGCCGUGCUCCACCAGGGAGCAGAGGCUGGGUCGGCAGCAUGCGAGGCCAAGGGUGGCCCAAGCUGAGGGGGACCCCGGGCCCCAAGAGAAGCAGAGGCUGUCUUAGGCUCCUUGGGAACCAAGGCGCGGGCCCUCAAUCGCACCUGGAGGCCGCGGGACCCUUCCGAGGCUCCUCCAGGGCGCCGAAGUCACCACGCGCCAGGCCCAAGCCGCCGCCCCACCCCGCACUUCCGCUUCCGGGCGCGUGGCCUCCUUCCUGUCACGUGACCUCCUUCCGGUCGCGUGCCACAGCCCUUCACUUCCGGCCGGGAGGAGGCUUCAGCGUUGCGGACUGAGGUGUGCGCCCCGAAGCCUCCACACUGUCCCCAGCCAGGCGUCUUCCUCGCCGCCCGCCGGCCCUUGCUGCCUCGUCUGUCAGCCCCCAGGCCGGACGCUCCCCCGCUCCCCACCGCCCGCGCCCCCCCGAGGCCCGGUCUCUCCGGGACGCCACUCCCAGGUGUGACGCUCAGGGGCCGGGGUGGGAGGUGGGCCGCGGAUCAGCCUGUAGUGCAGGGAGCUGCCCCUUUUCCUUUCCUCGUGCGAGUCGGUUUUCUGAGGGGCACGUUCCUCUCAAGUCUCUGCGGAAGGGCUCUCCCAGCUAGGAGCGCAGCCUUUGGACUCAGUACCCGCCUCCUGGGCCACACAGAGAGGAGCAGCCCUAGGCGACCCUGCGAGACUGCCCUGGAGGGCGCAGCCGUCGCGAGGGCCGGGGUCCUAGAGCCCCCCUCAGGCUGCCCCCAGUGCCGGCAGCACUGGAGUUCCACCAGCGAGGACUCAGGCAAGGGGCUGGGGGCCGGCGAGGGAGGCCCCUGCCCUCCCUGGUAAGAAAGGGGCAAAAGGAGGGGCUGGGGGAUAGCGCCCCUGUCCAGCAAGGCCGGCCGAGGCACAGAGAUACUGGUGGGGCCGCCAGCUGCAGGAAGGCGCCUGGGGUCCGGAAGAGGAGGCUGCUGAGCAGGGCAGGCAGCAGAGCGGCUUCCAGAGUCGCUGCAGAGGGGCUGCAGGUGCCCCUGAGCCGGGAUGUUCAGUGAGGACCGAGGCUGAGGACCAGAGGGCAGAAGCUUGGAAGCAAGAUUAAAUGAGCUGCAGCCAAUUAAGAAGUUACGUUGACAAGAUACGGUAGUGCUGUGUGCGUCUUCAACCCCAGAGGCCUUGCGGGCUCUGUCUGUGGCCCGAGUCCCUGGUCCGGGAGCCGCUCCCCCUCCACACCCAGGGGAGUGCGCCAGCAGGGCUGUGACCCCAGCUGACCAGUCAGAGCAUCCGUGCCGAUCAGGCUGAGCAUGCCACGUCAUCAGGAACAACUGUUUCCCCUGAAACUGCUGAAAAGAAUGAGUAGUCCUUAAUGUGGGGCCUCGGGGGCAGUGCCGACACCAGCUGCAAAGUGUGGGGCUAGGAGAUGAGGGGGCGAGAGACUCACUGCACGCAGCCCCGCCGGUAGACACGAUCUCCUGUGGCCUUCAGUUACUUAGCCAACAGACUCCUUUUUCUGGCUUUGCUCAAAUUGAUCUGCCGUGGGGAUGUGGAGUGAACCUCUCACUGCUGGAGGCUCUGCUGCUGGGAGAGUUAGACGGGCCACCUGAGCUGAGACUACUGCUGAUGAAAAACACACAGGAUGUAAAAUAGCUCAUUAAAAUUGUUUAUGUUGACAUGUUUGAAGUGAUAAUAAAGGGGCAGACAGGCUUACCUAAGAUGGUGUUAAAUUUUACACGUUCCUUUUAACUUUUUAAGUGUGCCCACUAGAAAAUUUAAGACUAUGUUUCUAGCUCAUUUUCUGGACAGAGUGGGACUAGACCAGUUUUCUAGAGAUGAAGAGCAUGUAUGUGUGUGUGCUGAUGUCUCUCUGAACUGUUGCGUCUUUGGAGAGUGAGUUCUGCUAACAGAGGCUUUCUUGGUUUCCUGUGCUGCGGUGGGUCUCCCCAAGCUUGGGGAGAGAACUGGGGAAGAGAGGAAAGGCUCUGAUUUGUGUUUCCUCAGCAGCUUUGCUGAGCUGGGGUCACAUCGCGUACAGUUCCCCACUCAGUGUACAGCUUGGGCUCCUAGUCACGCAGCGGUGCGGCCGCCACUGCAGUCCCUUCAGCACCCAGUCAUGACCCAGCAAAGCCCCCACACCUGGCGGCUUCCACUUGCGCCCUUUCUCCUGGCUCCUGCCCUGCUCGUCUGCUCACUGCCUCUGUAGAUCUGCCUGCUCUGGAUGCUUGAUGCAAACGCAGGCGCGCAAUACACGGCCGGUGGUGUCUGGUUUCUCUUCCUUAGUAUCAUGUUUUCAGGGUUCGUGUCCGUGGUAGCCUGCAUCAUGCCUCACUCCCUUGACGUCUGAAUGAUACUACCCUGCAUGGAUGUAUUCAUCCAUCUAUCAGUUGAAGGGCAUUUGAGUUGUUUCUUGACUUAAGGACAGUACUGCUGUGCACGUUUGUGUACAGGUUUGCACGUGAACAUACGCUCCUUCUCGCAGGCACGUCCCAGGACUGGGGUUGCGAGGUCACACGGUAACUCCAUAGUUAGUGCUUUAAGGACCCGCCUGACGUGUCCACAGUGUCUGCACCAUUUUACCUUCCCACUGUUACUGCACCAGGGGCUUCCCUGGAGGCUAUGGCAGCAGAGAAGCUGCCUUCAGUGCAGGAGACCUGGGUUCGAUCCUUGGUUUGGGAACAUUCCCUGCAGAAGGGAAUGGCAACCCACUCCAGUAUUCUUGCCUAGAAAAUCCACGGGCAGAAAAGCCUGGCAGGCUACAGUCCUUGGGGUUGCAAAGAGCGGAGCAUGGCUGGGUGCCUAACACACACGUUACUGCACAAGGGCCCCCGUUCGUCUGAAUUUGCACCAACACUAGUGAUCCUCCGCCUUCUGACCACUGCCAUCUUAGGGGUGUGAAGUCGUGCACCGUGGCUUUGAGUUGCGUUUCCCUGGCUGCUCGUGACACUGAGCAUCUUUUCGUCUGCUUAUUGGCCCCUUACUGGCUACGUAUUUUCUUUGGAGAAACAUCUACUCAGAUUUUUGCCCAUUUGUCUUUUCAUUAUUUAAUUGUAAGCGUUUUGUCCAUAUUACAGGUACACGUCCGUUAUCAGAUACAUGAUUUGCAGAAAUUCUUCUUGCAUUCUGAGUUUUCUUUUCACUUUUUUGGUUUGUUUUUGGCCAGGCCAGGCGGCUUGUUUGAGGGAUGACAGUUCCCCGAACAGGGUUUGAACCCAGGCCACGACAGUGAAAGUGCCAAAAUGUCAGGGAAUUCCCUCUGUUCACUUUUUUAAAUAUUUAAAAAAAUAUUAUUUUCCCUUUCUUGAUGUUGUGUUUUAAAUGCUUAGCUUUUAAUAAAAGAAUGAAAAAAAAAAAGAAUGAGAAAUCUGAUAUUGGGUUCAGGGUUAAGGGAUGGAACCCAGGAAACAGAGGAAGCAGGCAGGGUGGGGCCUGGGAAAGACAGAGGAGAAGGAACUCUGAAAAACAGAAUACGGAACCCUUCCAAGACUUUCACUUUGUGAUAAACUCUGUUUCUUUAAAUGUUUUCAAAAUUGUGGUAAAAUACAUAUAACAAACUUACGCCAUCCUUAUGUGUCAGGCUCAGCGGCAUUAAGUACAUUCACGUUGUUGUGCAGCGAUCACCACUACCAUCUCCAGAACUUUCUCAUCUUCUGAAGCUGAAGCUGUGUCCCUGUUAAACACUCGCCUUCCCUCGGCCUCUGGCUCUCACCAUGCUACUUUCUGUCUCUAUGGAUUUGACUCCUUUAGGGCCUUCAUCUAAGUGGAUCAUACAGUAUUUCUAAUUUUGUGAUCAGCUUAUAUCACUGACAUAAUGUCCUUAAGGUUCAUCCAUGUUGUCACACGAAUCAGAAUUUCUUUCCUUUUUAAGUCUCACUAGUUCUCCACUGUGUUGGAUGGACCAUGUUUUGUUUCUCCAUUCAUCUGUGGAUGGAUAACUUGGAGUACUUUUGCCUUCAGCUGUUGGGAACACAUCAUGAACAGGAGAGUGCAGAUACGGCUUUGAGACCCAGCUUUCAGUUCUCUUGGGUACAUGCCCAGGAGUGGAACUGCUGGGUCAUAUGGUUAUUCUGUAAAUGUUUUAAUUUUCUGAGGAACUGAUACGCUGGUUUCCACAGUGGCUGCACCACUUUAUAUUCCCACUAGCAAAGUGUUAGGGUUCUAAUUCCUCCACGUCCUUGUCAGCACUUGUGAUUUUCUGUGUUUUCUUUUCUUGUCUUUGUAACAAGGUGGUAUAUCAUUAUGGUUUUAUCAUUUGCAUUUCCUAAUGAUUAGUGAUGUUGAGCAUCUUUUUCAUUUGCUUAUUAACCAUUUGAAUAUUUUUUUGAGAAACAUCUAUUCAAAUCCUUUGCUUCUUUUUAAAACUGGAUUUUCGUUGUUGAGUUUCAGAGGUUCUCUGUAUGUUCUAGGUAUUCAUCUGUUAUCAUUAUGUGACUUGUAAAUAUUUUUUCCCAUUCUAUGAGUUGCCUGUUACUCUGUUGAUACUGUUUUUUAAUGCAUAAAAUUUUUUCAAUUU